Molecule: long non-coding RNA, 1529 nt
Organism: Haliotis rufescens (red abalone)
Lineage: Eukaryota; Metazoa; Mollusca; Gastropoda; Lepetellida; Haliotidae
Exons: 4
Source: RefSeq, a predicted model, not a curated record
AAUAAUCCAAGCUAACACAUUCAUAACGUCCAGAUUAAGGACAGAGGAAACAAAAAUUUGACGAUUUUCAGAACUUAGAUCUACCAAAGACGUAUAUAUACGUCCGUGGAUCUACCUAUUUAUUGUUGUUGUUGUUUUUCAUAUUUAUUGUUUACGUAGAUCUAGACUCUUAAUCGGAAAAUUAUUUUCAAAAGAAUUAUUAAUAAUAUCUGUCAUCAUUUUCCCGAUGACAGUGGCUGUCCACUCUGUAGCAUGAAGAAAUAUCUCCGUUUUCGAAGCUUCGCAUGAAUAACACGUACCAUGUGCCACACCAUUAUCUUCAACGUUUAUUUUGUCAUCUACACGACAGUCAACUCGCCUUGAGUAUUUACAUUACUAUAACAUGCUAUUUUAUUGGUUUCUGGUGACGCUUUCAUGCCGAAAUCUGCUAUAAGAUUCGUGAUUGGUCAAAUUGAGCACGUGACCUAAUACAACCAAUUACAGCAACGGUACUCGUGUAUAUCAGACUUUGACGAAAGUUUUUUGGUAAAUCGUGUUGUUCUGAACGUUUUAAGCAGGAAAUCGCGAUCUAUAUUAAAAAUAUGAAACUUCGUGGAUGUAUCGUGCCAGGUUACGAGCUGAGACAAAGAUUUUUCUUGCAUAUAUUUGGCAUUAAACAUUGUGGAGAAAUCGAGGCGAUAAAAGCCGCGAUGCCAUUUGACUCGCAUCACACGCGAUCGCACGAAAAGAUGGAAAUGAUAACUUAUAUCUAAGUUUGACAACUUUUAGACAGAUAAAUAAUUUUGUUGAUUUCAUUUAUUACUUUGUAAAAUAUAUCUAAAGAUUUGAUUGACACGUUUUCAUUUUGCUCUUUGACUUGUUCGAUGUGGACCCAUUGUCAAAGUGUGUGUCGGAGAAUUCUAUUUUCAAUAACAUUGCGGGAAAUAGAUCUAGUGAAUAAUAUUUUGAUCUAUGGAUAAAAAAUAAUAAUUUGAAAGAGAAGCAAAAACUGAAAAAGAGAGUCACCAAACCUUCAUCGAGAUAGAAUCUACGCCGACUCUGAGUUCAGCAAGGAUGACAACGUAUAUGUUCCUGAACAAACGCCCCCUUCCUUGUGGUGAUUUUUUAAGACAAAAAAUGAACGAUACUUCAUAGGAAGAGGUGUACUCCUGCUGAUGUGCCUGUUUCAUGAGAAGGGAUCGAGGAAAAGAAGCCAGUUGCUGCCUGGUGGCCAGCAACUUGGUGUUUUUACGAUGCUACCGACACCGAUGUGGUACUCGAAGUUCUGAAACCGGCAAAGAAAAAACAACUGGAACUUUGUGGUGAGCAAGAAGAUCUGCACACUUAGGAAUGCCUUCAAGUGAAUGAGCCAUGCCUCUUGAAGGACAGCUUCCAUGACGACUCCUGCCAGGACGAGGAUGACUUCCACUUUCAUAUGAUGACUUCCACUUUCAUAUGAUGGCUACCAUAUAAUGAUAUCUUCUGUUGAUGAUGUCCACCUCUGGCUACUUGUUAUUGCUGUUAUUACUCCAAAUAAAGAGAAUACUAUA